This 77-nucleotide transfer RNA is filed under the name Thermoplasmata archaeon. RNAcentral describes it as "tRNA-Asn". It matches the Rfam family "tRNA". Rfam says of the family: Transfer RNA (tRNA) molecules are approximately 80 nucleotides in length. Their secondary structure includes four short double-helical elements and three loops (D, anti-codon, and T loops). The record is from RNAcentral. RNAcentral also lists the same sequence under 2 other names. Lineage: Archaea; Methanobacteriati; Thermoplasmatota; Thermoplasmata.
GCCGCCGUAGCUUAGCUGGCUAGAGCGCACGGCUGUUAACCGUGCGGUCAUCGGUUCGAAUCCGAUCGGCGGCGCCA